RNAcentral lists this microRNA precursor (139 nucleotides) under Oryza sativa (Asian cultivated rice). Its description in RNAcentral is "miR818d stem-loop (osa-MIR818d)". Its record names the gene osa-MIR818d. RNAcentral also lists the same sequence under 1 other name. The record is from miRBase by way of RNAcentral. Lineage: Eukaryota; Viridiplantae; Streptophyta; Magnoliopsida; Poales; Poaceae.
UUCCUAUUAAUUGUUACUCUCUCCAUCCCAUAAUAUAAGGGAUUUUAGAGGGAUGUGAUCUAGAUUCGUAGUCCGAGGAAACAUCACAUACCUCUAAAAUCCCUUAUAUUAUGGGACGGAGGGAGUACUAGUUUAGGAA